This 371-nucleotide ribosomal RNA is filed under the name uncultured organism. RNAcentral describes it as "partial 16S ribosomal RNA". It matches the Rfam family "Bacterial small subunit ribosomal RNA", at positions 527 to 896 of the family's 1533-position model. The record is from RNAcentral.
GUAGGUGGCAAGCGUUGUCCGGAAUUAUUGGGCGUAAAGCGCGCGCAGGCGGUUCUUUAAGUCUGAUGUGAAAGCCCACGGCUCAGCCGUGGAGGGCCAUUGGAAACUGGAGAACUUGAGUACAGAAGAGGAAAGCGGAAUUCCACGUGUAGCGGUGAAAUGCGUAGAGAUGUGGAGGAACACCAGUGGCGAAGGCGGCUUUCUGGUCUGUAACUGACGCUGAGGCGCGAAAGCGUGGGGGAGCAAACAGGAUUAGAUACCCUGGUAGUCCACGCCGUAAACGAUGAGUGCUAAGUGUUAGGGGGUUUCCGCCCCUUAGUGCUGCAGCUAACGCAUUAAGCACUCCGCCUGGGAGUACGGCCGCAAGGCUG